CCUACGGGAGGCAGCAGUGAGGAAUAUUGGUCAAUGGACGAGAGUCUGAACCAGCCAAGUAGCGUGAAGGAUGACUGCCCUAUGGGUUGUAAACUUCUUUUAUAAAGGAAUAAAACGAGGCACGUGUGCCUUUUUGCAUGUACUUUAUGAAUAAGGAUCGGCUAACUCCGUUCCGGCAGCAGCGGUAAGAAGGAGGACGCGAGCGUUAUCCGGAUUGAUUGGGUUUAAAGGGAGCGUAGAGGGGUGGUUAAGUCAGUUGUGAAAGUUUGCGGCUCAACCGUAAAAUUGCAAUUGAUACUGGCAGUCUUGAGUGCAGUGGAGGUAGGCGGAAUUCGUGGUGUAGCGGUGAAAUGCUUAGAUAUCACGAAGAACCCCGAUUGCGAAGGCAGCUUACUAAACUGUGACUGACAUUGAUGCGCGAAAGUGUGGGUAUCAAACAGGAUUAGAUACCCCAGUAGUC
Molecule: ribosomal RNA, 460 nt
Filed under: uncultured bacterium
Lineage: Bacteria
Description: partial 16S ribosomal RNA
Rfam family: Bacterial small subunit ribosomal RNA
Source: RNAcentral